GUACUCGCUUUGGCAGCACAUAUACUAAUAUUGGAAUGAUACAGAGAGAUUAGCAUGACCCCUGCACAAGGAUGACACACAAAUUCCUGAAGCAUUCCAUCUUUUA
Molecule: small nuclear RNA, 106 nt
Filed under: Myotis brandtii (Brandt's bat)
Lineage: Eukaryota; Metazoa; Chordata; Mammalia; Chiroptera; Vespertilionidae
Source: RNAcentral